This is a long non-coding RNA of Phasianus colchicus (ring-necked pheasant), 2934 nucleotides long. Lineage: Eukaryota; Metazoa; Chordata; Aves; Galliformes; Phasianidae. The record is from Ensembl.
GAUCCCCACAGAUCCCAUUGAGCCCCAUAGAUCUCAGUGUACCCCAUAGAUCCUGGUGUGCCCCACAGAUCCCAGUGUGCCCCACAGAUUCCACUGAGCCCCAUAGAUGUCAGUGUGCCCCACAGAUCCCAUUGAGCCCCACAGAUCCCAGUGUGCCCCACAGCUGCCCCUAUUGUAGUGCAGGGUGAGGUGUGACAUGGGGGGCACACGCACACUCACACACGUGCACACAUACAUGUGCACUUACAUACAUGAACACACACACACACACACACACAUAUGUACGCACUCACACGUGCACUCACACACACGUGUGCACUCACACACAUGUGCGCACACACAUGCAUGUACAGACGCAUGCACUCACACGCACACGUGAGCACACACACACAGAUGGGUACUCGCACACGUGUGUGCACUCACACACAUGCAUUCAGACAUGCACUCACACACACACAGACACACAUGCACACACACAUGUGCUCUCACACACAUGGAUUCACACACUCACAUGUGUGCACCCACAUAUGUGCUCUCACACACACGUGCACUCACACAUGUGCACUCACACACAUGUGCACUCACACAUGUGCACUCACACACAUGUGCACUCACACAUGCGCAGACACGUGCUCACCCACACACACACUCACACACAUGCAUUCACACACAUGUGCUCUCACAUGUGCUCUCACACACACAUGCUUUUACACACACGUGCACUCAGACACACGUGCUAUCACAUAUGUGCUCUCACGCACAUACUCUCACACACAUGCAAUUAGACACGUUCUCACACACACAUGCACUCACGUACACUCACACACAUGUGCACUCACACAUGCACUCACACACACAUGCUCACACACGUGCACUCAGACACAUGUGCUUUCACACACACAUGCACUCACACAUGCCUGCACUCACACACACGCACCCUCCCAAACACAUGUGCACUCACACAUGUACACUCACACACGUGCUCUCACACACACGUGCUCUUACACACACGUGCUCUCACACACAUGUGCUCUCACACCCACCUUUUUGCACCAGUGCUGUGGAGGGGAGAGAGGAGAGAGGUCAAGGGGUGCAACACGGAACCGUGCACGGAACCGUGCACACGGAAUGGCAUGGAACGGUGCACGUGGAACGGUGCACACGGAACGGUGCACAUGAAAUGGUGCACAUGGAAUGGUGCACAGGGAAUGGUGCAUAGAAUGGUGCAUGGAACGGUGCAUGGAACGGUGCAUGGAAUGGUGCACAUGGAACACUGCACAUGGAAUGCUGCACAUGGAAUGGUGCACACUGAAUGGUGCACAUGGAAUGGCGUACAUGGAAUGGUGCAUGGAACAGUGCAUGGAAUGGUGCACAGGGAAUGGUGCACAGAAUGGUGCGUGGAAUGGUGCACACGGAACGGUGCAUGUGGAACAGUGCAUGGAAUGGUGCACAUGAAAUGGUGCAUGGAACAGUGCAUGGAAUGGUGCAGAGAACGGUGCAUGGACUGGUGCACAUGGAACAGUGCAUGGAAUGGUGCAUGGACUGGUGCACAGGGACUGGUGCAUGGAGCAGCACACAGAAGAGCACGCAUGGAACGGCGCACGGCACACAGAACAGCACACGGAACGGCGCACGGAUCUGCGUGUGACACACAGCACGCGGCACAGCACGGCGCACACGGUGCACGGCACGCGGCACGCAAUGCAUGGCGUGCAGCACACAGCACACAGCACGCAACACACGGCACGCGGGUGUUGUGGCACGCAGCACACGGUGCACGGCACACGAUGCACAACACGCAGCACACGUUGCAACGCGGCACACGGAACACAGAACGUGGCACAAAGCACAUGGCACGCAGAACAUGGCAGGGUGCAUGGCACGCGGCACACAACAUACAACACAGCAUGAUGCAUGGCACACAGCACAUAUAAGAUAGCACGAUGCAUGGCAUGCAGCUCAUGGCACACAGAACAUGGUAUGGCGCAUGACACACAGCACACAACAUACAACAUAGCAUGACGCAUGGCACAGCACAUGGCACGCAGCACACAGCACGCAGAACAUGGCAUGACACAUGGCACACGGCACAUGGCACACGCAACAUGGCAUGAUGCAUGGCACGCAGCACACGGCACACACAGCAGCAUGCAUGGAGCACCAAGUGCAUGGCAUGCAGCACACGUUGCAGCACACGCAGCACGUGACAUGCAGCCCGCGUUGUGACACACGGCCCAGCGUGCAGCACACACGUGACAUGCAGCACACACGUGACGUGGCACAUGACACGCAGCAGGGCAUGCACCGCAACAUGCAGCACACGCAUGGCACACACCACACGGCAUGAUGCAUGGCACGUGGCACACGUGGGUGACAUGCAGCACACAGCACAGCAUGCAGCGCGGCAUGCAGCACACGCGUGGCACACGCAGCACAUGGCACACAGCAAUGCAUGGCAUGUGGCACACGCUGCGACACGCAGCUCACACUGGUGAUGCAUGGCACACGCAACACAUACGUGACACGCAGCACACGGCACACGCUGUAACAUGCAGCACACGCUGUGACAUGCAGCACAUGGCACCCGCAACACACAUGUGACACGCAGCGCACGGCACACGCAGCAACACACAGUGACACGCAGCACACUCUGGGACACACAGCUCACAUGGAUGAUGCACGGCACACGCAGCACACGCUGUGACACAGCACACGGUGAUGAUGCACGGCACACGCAGCACACACGUGACACGCAGCACACAGCACACGCUGUGACACACAGCUCACUGAGACGCGCAGCUCACAUGGAUGAUGCAUGGCACACACAGCACACACACGACAUGCAGCACACGGUGAUGAUGCGUGGCACAUGCAGCACACAUGUGACACAGCACACAUGGAUGAUGCACACGCAGCACAUGCUGAUACACAGCA